AGAGUUUGAUCCUGGCUCAGAUUGAACGCUGGCGGCAUGCCUUACACAUGCAAGUCGAACGGCAGCACGGAGCUUGCUCUGGUGGCGAGUGGCGAACGGGUGAGUAAUAUAUCGGAACGUACCCUGGAGUGGGGGAUAACGUAGCGAAAGUUACGCUAAUACCGCAUACGAUCUAAGGAUGAAAGUGGGGGAUCGCAAGACCUCAUGCUCGUGGAGCGGCCGAUAUCUGAUUAGCUAGUUGGUGGGGUAAAGGCUCACCAAGGCAUCGAUCAGUAGCUGGUCUGAGAGGACGACCAGCCACACUGGAACUGAGACACGGUCCAGACUCCUACGGGAGGCAGCAGUGGGGAAUUUUGGACAAUGGGCGCAAGCCUGAUCCAGCAAUGCCGCGUGAGUGAAGAAGGCCUUCGGGUUGUAAAGCUCUUUUGUCAGGGAAGAAACGGUGAGAGCUAAUAUCUCUUGCUAAUGACGGUACCUGAAGAAUAAGCACCGGCUAACUACGUGCCAGCAGCCGCGGUAAUACGUAGGGUGCAAGCGUUAAUCGGAAUUACUGGGCGUAAAGCGUGCGCAGGCGGUUUUGUAAGUCUGAUGUGAAAUCCCCGGGCUCAACCUGGGAAUUGCAUUGGAGACUGCAAGGCUAGAAUCUGGCAGAGGGGGGUAGAAUUCCACGUGUAGCAGUGAAAUGCGUAGAUAUGUGGAGGAACACCGAUGGCGAAGGCAGCCCCCUGGGUCAAGAUUGACGCUCAUGCACGAAAGCGUGGGGAGCAAACAGGAUUAGAUACCCUGGUAGUCCACGCCCU
This 800-nucleotide ribosomal RNA is filed under the name Cantharellus appalachiensis. RNAcentral's name for it is "bacterial SSU rRNA". It matches the Rfam family "Bacterial small subunit ribosomal RNA", at positions 8 to 803 of the family's 1533-position model. Lineage: Eukaryota; Fungi; Basidiomycota; Agaricomycetes; Cantharellales; Hydnaceae. The record is from RNAcentral.